GAUGAACGCUGGCGGCGUGCCUAAUACAUGCCAGUCGAGCGAACGGACGAGAAGCUUGCUUCUCUGAUGUUAGCGGCGGACGGGUGAGUAACACGUGGAUAACCUACCUAUAAGACUGGGAUAACUUCGGGAAACCGGAGCUAAUACCGGAUGAUAUUUUGAACCGCAUGGUUCAAAAGUGAAAGACGGUCUUGCUGUCACUUAUAGAUGGAUCCGCGCUGCAUUAGCUAGUUGGUAAGGUAACGGCUUACCAAGGCAACGAUGCAUAGCCGACCUGAGAGGGUGAUCGGACACACUGGAACUGAGACACGGUCCAGACUCCUACGGGAGGCAGCAGUAGGGAAUCCUCCGCAAUGGGCGAAAGCCUGACGGAGCAACGCCGCGUGAGUGAUGAAGGUCUUCGGAUCGUAAAACUCUGUUAUUAGGGAAGAACAUAUGUGUAAGUAACUGUGCACAUCUUGACGGUACCUAAUCAGAAAGCCACGGCUAACUACGUG
Molecule: ribosomal RNA, 497 nt
Filed under: uncultured bacterium
Lineage: Bacteria
Description: partial 16S ribosomal RNA
Rfam family: Bacterial small subunit ribosomal RNA
Source: RNAcentral